AUGAGCCGGCAAUGGAUGUACGAUGACCGAUGCUCUCCCGAGUUCAUUAAUGGUGUGCGUGCUUUUCUGCUUGCGGCUGAGGCAAACAAGUGGGCGGAUGGUUUUAUGCCUUGUCCAUGUGCUGGCUGUAAGAAUGGUCACAAUUACUCUACGUCAAGAACCAUUCACGUCCACCUGUUUGAGUCUGGUUUCAUGCCCCACUAUAAUGUUUGGACCAAGCAUGGAGAAAGAGGGGUUAUGAUGGAAGACAAUGAAGAAGAAGAGGACGACGACAGCUAUCCUGGCCAUGGGUUCCCUGAAUACGAUGAUACAACAAUGAGGGAAGAAGUUGAGCCGGUAAUGCGGGAAGAAGCUGAGCGGGCAAUGCGGGAAGAAGCUAAAGAAGAGGCAUCGGAUGAGCCCGUUGAUGAUCUAGGUCGGGCCAUUGCCAAUGCAAAGAGAAACCGCGGAAGUGAUUUGGAGAAGAAGAAGUUGCAGCGCAUGUUAGAGGAUCACAAAAAAUUGUUGUACCCGAAUUGCGUAGGUGACAAGAAAAAGCUGGGCACCACACUGGAAUUGCUACAAUGGAAGGCAGAGAAUGGUGUAUCUGACAGGGGAUUUGGAAAGUUGCUGGUAAUGAUAAAGAAUAUACUUCCAAAGGACAACGAAUUGCCCGAGAGUACGUACGAAGCAAAGAAGGCUGUCUGCCCUCUAGGGUUAGAGGUGCAGAAGAUACAUGCAUGCCCUAAUGAUUGCAUCCUCUACCACGGUGAGUACGAGGAUUUGAACGCUUGCCCAGUAUGCGGUGCAUUGCGCUAUAAGAUCAGUCGCGAUGACCCUGGUGAUGUCGAGGGCGAGCGCCCUAGGAAGAAGAUUCCUGCCAAGGUGAUGUGGUAUGCUCCUAUAAUACCACGCUUGAAACGUUUGUUCCAAAACAAAAAGCAUGCCAAGGCGAUGCGAUGGCACAGAGAAGACCGUAAGAAAGACGGAAAGUUGAGAGUACCCGCUGACGGGUCGCAGUGGAGAAAAAUCAGAAGUAAGUACGGGAAGGAGUUUGCAGAUGACGCAAGGAACGUAUGGUUUGGUCUAAGCGCAAAUGGCAUUAAUCCUUUUGGGGAGCAGAGCAGCAACCAUAGCACCUGGCAUGUGACUCUAUGUUUGUAUAACCUUCCUCCUUAG
This 1158-nucleotide ribosomal RNA is filed under the name Triticum aestivum (bread wheat). RNAcentral's name for it is "partial small subunit ribosomal RNA". The record is from RNAcentral. Lineage: Eukaryota; Viridiplantae; Streptophyta; Magnoliopsida; Poales; Poaceae.